Molecule: non-coding RNA, 499 nt
Organism: Myotis myotis
Lineage: Eukaryota; Metazoa; Chordata; Mammalia; Chiroptera; Vespertilionidae
Source: the annotation of a RefSeq genome assembly
UAUGAAAUACUCUGCCUCAUGAAUAUGCAAAAGAGAGGGGGUAGACUAGGUUAAAUAUGGGUAAGUCUGUGCCCUGAGGGCAUCACCCACAGCCACACCUUCCCCUACAGAAGUGCUCACAGCACAGCCCCUCACCAUGGACUGGAGCUGGAGAACCCUCCUCCUGGUGGCCAUGGCUACAGGUGUCCACUCCCAGGUGCAGCUGGUGCAGUCUGGGGCUGAGGUGAGAAAGCCUGGGGCCUCCGUGAAGGUCUACUGCAAGGCUUCUGGAUACACCUUCACCAGCUACUGGAUGCACUGGGUGUUACAGGCCCCAGAGCAGGGGCAUGAGUGGAUGGGGUGGUUUUACCCUAACAAUAGGAACACAAAAUAUGCACAGAAGUUCCAAGGCAGAGUCUCCAUGACCAGAGACAUAUCCACAAGCACAGCCUACAUGGAGCUCAGCAGCCUGAGAGCCGAGGACACAGCCAUUUAUUAUUCUGCAAGGGACACAAAGUGA